CCUGGGUCCACCCUGAGGCGUAGCUCAGUUUUUGACUCAUCAGUUAUACUGUAAGCACCCAGCUUCCAGCCAGAAAUCUCACCCACCACUGAACCUUGCCGUCUAAACUUGGAUUCUCUUCACCUCUACUGCCUGCCCUCCUGCCUGCUGACUGUGCUGGAAACACUAAACCUCAGGUUGGACAAAUACUCAGCUGCUCAGUCUUCAAUACCCUCCCCAAGCUGGAAAUCAGCUUCACUGCAUAGGGUUAUUUCUCUCUCUAGAAGUUACACGAAGCUCAACAGAAAGUCUGUAAGGAUGGCAGAGGAGGAAGUUAACUAUGCCACAGUCAAAUUCAAAGAAAAGAAACAUUCCCAAUCAAAAGUUAAAAAGGAGGAAACUGUUUAUGAUGAAGUGGAGGUGAAAAAUGAAGCAAAGGAACAAACUCUGGACACAAACGAUUUUUACGCCAGACAAGAAGAACG
Long non-coding RNA from Oreochromis aureus, 464 nucleotides. The record is from Ensembl. Lineage: Eukaryota; Metazoa; Chordata; Actinopteri; Cichliformes; Cichlidae.